CCAAGGAUGACUUGCCGG
RNAcentral lists this non-coding RNA (18 nucleotides) under Arabidopsis thaliana (thale cress). Lineage: Eukaryota; Viridiplantae; Streptophyta; Magnoliopsida; Brassicales; Brassicaceae. The record is from RNAcentral.